UGCCUACGGGGGGCAGCAGUGGGGAAUAUUGGGCAAUGGGGGAAACCCUGACCCAGCAACGCCGCGUGAAGGAAGAAGGUUUUCGGAUUGUAAACUUCUGUCCUUGGUGAAGAGAAGAAGACGGUAGCCAAGGAGGAAGCCCCGGCUAACUACGUGCCAGCAGCCGCGGUAAUACGUAGGGGGCAAGCGUUGUCCGGAAUGAUUGGGCGUAAAGGGCGCGUAGGCGGCUUUAUAAGUCUGGAGUGAAAGUCCUGUUUUCAAGGGAGGAAUUGCUUUGGAAACUAUAGAGCUUGAGUGCAGGAGAGGUUAUCGGAAUUCCCGGUGUAGCGGUGAAAUGCGUAGAUAUCGGGAGGAACAUCGGUGGCGAAGGCGGGUAACUGGACUGCAACUGACGCUGAGGCGCGAAAGUGUGGGGAGCAAACAGGAUUAGAUACCCCUGUAGUC
Molecule: ribosomal RNA, 444 nt
Filed under: uncultured Eubacteriales bacterium
Lineage: Bacteria; Bacillati; Bacillota; Clostridia; Eubacteriales
Description: bacterial SSU rRNA
Rfam family: Bacterial small subunit ribosomal RNA
Source: RNAcentral